Long non-coding RNA from Elaeis guineensis (African oil palm), 2433 nucleotides. RefSeq lists it as uncharacterized. The record is from RefSeq and is a predicted model, not a curated record. NCBI's taxonomy places the organism in Eukaryota, Viridiplantae, Streptophyta, Magnoliopsida, Arecales, Arecaceae.
UCCCAGGGAGAGGAAAACUUCUUUCCUUUUUUGCUGGCAAAUGGGAGGGCAAAACUCAUGGAAAUAACAUGGAGAUUCCGUGCGGGGGCCGCAAAAAUAGCAUGCGGACAUCCGUGCCUGAGGUCCUACACAGAUGCGCGUGUAUACUUAAACGCAUUGCAAAAUGGAAAUACACGUAGAUUUACUAUGCGGACGUAAAUCCGCAUAAAAAUCUCUAGGACAACUGGCGUUUCGCCCCUGAUAGAGGGAGCAGACGGCCACUUUAUCUCCACGUGUAGGGUCAAGAUCCCGUUCAUCGAUCUCCCUCGGCGACGUUAGAUGCAGCCAAGGAAACCCCGAAUCCGAACGCCCAAUCCACGGGCCCUGACCUCCUCGUCCUCCGCCCCCACCGCCGCUGGCGGAGGAGAUGGUGAGCUGGCGGUUGGUGGUGGAAGGAACGGCUGGCGCUGGGAACAAAGGCUGGAGACGUGAGCUUUUCAGCUCUUCCCGGGACGGCUACGGACGCCUGGUGAUGGGUCCGAGCAUCGCCUGCAGGGGUUUCUUAAAUCCGCCAUUUUCGUAAUUUUCCAUCAAUGGUUUGGUUAUCAUGUUGGUGAAGAUGCAAAUCCACUUGUUGCCAAUAAGGCAAGGGAUCUGCUUGUCAACUGUGUCGUCAAAGCAACUGAAGCAGAAGGGACACAAAUACAAAGAAGGGAAGUUCCAAGAUCCUUCAAUGAUAUCCACUAGAGGCAUGAUGUUUGUGUUUACUCUUUUUCCAUUCUCUUUGCAUUGUCUAUUGCAUGUGUAAGUUUGAGAUCAAGGGAGGCUAGUCCACCCAAUUUAUCAAGAUGAAUAAAUAAAAAGGGGUGAAGGAAGAUAGCAUUGUAACAGAGAGUCAAACACUACCCAGAUGAAAGGAAAGGAAAAGAAUUGGGGAUCAUGAGAGAUCAAUCCCGGAAGGUUACUGCAGAAGAUUCCUGUCUGAGUAGGCUUCAACCCUAGGAGACCAAAUGUUUGUUGCAACCAUUGAACAGAGUCGUUGAACAGAAGAGUAGAUUUAAGACAGAGCCCCUCAAUGCAGCAAUGGAGUGACAGUUGGAGAAUGCGGUUUUUGCAAAUCCAGGAAGAUGUUUGUGGCAGCAAAGGAGAGACGAAUCAUUGAGAAGGUGAAUUCCUUUGUAAGCAGUAGAAUCAGCUGAAAAGCUUUUGUCAAGAAAAAUCCUAGAGUUUCUCUCCUUCCAACAGCUCCAAAUGAUUGCUGCUAUUAGCAUGAAGAUAACCAACUGGAGGCCUUUGUGGAAGUGAUGAAACUCGAUCCAGUGCAAAGAUCCACUAGAUUCUUGUGUAGAGAGGGGACUCCUAGCCGAGCACAAAUGCGAUCCCAAAUAUGCCUAGCAAAAGGACAUGAAAUAAGAAUGUGGUCCACUGUUUCUACAGGGCAGCCGAGUAAGCCACAGAUCAUUAGAGAAGGCCAGGGAAAUUAAGAAUGUGGUCCACUGUUCUAUAAUAGUUUGACAAGAGAAAUUAAAGACAUGAAUUAUGAAUGGCUUUGUUCAGGAAAAGACAUGCUUUGUAGAAGGUACGAGUAACCUUGCCCAAUGAUUUUGAUUAGAGGUGUCUAAUUGAUCCACUUGAUGCAAUGAAACUUUUGGCAUUCCGCAGCUGUAUUGUUUGUGAAGAAAGGUUUUCUGAUGUCACAGCUUCAAUCACCGAAGGACAGUAUUGUAAAACAAGAAUGAAAGUUGGAUAAAGGAAGUGGUGAAGGAGAAAGAAAAGAAAGUACACAAACAUGUUUAUGCAAACAUAUUCCUCUAUGAAGAAGAAAAGAAGAAAACACUAUAAAUUUUCUAAGUCAAACCUAAUGUUGACUUAUUUUCACAUUUCAGGAACAACUUUAGACUUGAUUGCCAGAGGAUUAGUAAUAUGUCAAAAAACAGGAGUAGGCCAGCUACUUAUAUCACCGAGUUGAUCAAGAGAAAAGUCAACGAGUCCUGGUCUGUGUCAUCUGUCUCGUCUUUAACUAGAAUUUCUGUAACCUGUUAAAGAGACAAUGAUAAAAUUGUGAUAAAAAGCUCCUUUUUCUGCUGGGCGUAUCAAGGGAAGAAUAUUGGUGGUCUUCAUGCAAGCUUGUCCUUACAGUAUAUAACAGAUCUGUUAAGAGGGAAGUAAGAUGUGCCGAGGAGAAUUUGACAGGUAAAGAAGAACAGAAACAGAUAGAUUAUGGAAAAGAACAACUGAAUGUGGCAUCUUUGAAUUUGCGAAGCAAAGAUAUUAGAUGAAAAAUGUACUAAAGCUACAGAUGGUACAUGUUUUCUUUUUUUUGUUUGGUAAAAAUAUUACAUGUUUUCUUCGUAGAUGGGCUUGUCCAAUUGUUUAAGAUAAGCAUGAUGUAAAUGUAGUAAUUUAGCCUAUUUGGUGAUAUGUUUUGAGCCAAAAUAUUCCCAAUUUCAUACA